GCCCGGGUGGCGAAAUCGGUAACCGCAGUGGACUUAAAAUCCACCGCCGCAUGGCUUACGGGUUCGAGUCCCGUCCCGGGCACGA
This 85-nucleotide transfer RNA is filed under the name Thauera aromatica K172. RNAcentral describes it as "tRNA-Leu". It matches the Rfam family "tRNA". Rfam says of the family: Transfer RNA (tRNA) molecules are approximately 80 nucleotides in length. Their secondary structure includes four short double-helical elements and three loops (D, anti-codon, and T loops). Further hydrogen bonds mediate the characteristic L-shaped molecular structure. tRNAs have two regions of fundamental functional importance: the anti-codon, which is responsible for specific mRNA codon recognition, and the 3' end, to which the tRNAs corresponding amino acid is attached (by aminoacyl-tRNA synthetases). tRNAs cope with the degeneracy of the genetic code in two manners: having more than one tRNA (with a specific anti-codon) for a particular amino acid; and 'wobble' base-pairing, i.e. permitting non-standard base-pairing at the 3rd anti-codon position. The record is from RNAcentral. Lineage: Bacteria; Pseudomonadati; Pseudomonadota; Betaproteobacteria; Rhodocyclales; Zoogloeaceae.